GGGCUCGCAGGCGGUUUCUUAAGUCUGAUGUGAAAGCCCCCGGCUCAACCGGGGAGGGUCAUUGGAAACUGGGGAACUUGAGUGCAGAAGAGGAGAGUGGAAUUCCACGUGUAGCGGUGAAAUGCGUAGAGAUGUGGAGGAACACCAGUGGCGAAGGCGACUCUCUGGUCUGUAACUGACGCUGAGGAGCGAAAGCGUGGGGAGCGAACAGGAUUAGAUACCCUGGUAGUCCACGCCGUAAACGAUGAGUGCUAAGUGUUAGGGGGUUUCCGCCCCUUAUUGCUGCAGCUAACGCAUUAAGCACUCCGCCUGGGGAGUACGGUCGCAAGACUGAAACUCAAAGGAAUUGACGGGGGCCCGCACAAGCGGUGGAGCAUGUGGUUUAAUUCGAAGCAACGCGAAGAACCUUACCAGGUCUUGACAUCCUCUGACUUUCCUAAAGAUAGGACGUCCCCUUCGGAGGCCUAGUGACAGGUGUUGCAUGGUUGUCGUCAGCUCGUGUCGUGAGAUGUUGGGUUAAGUCCCGCAACGAGCGCAACCCUUGAUCUUAGUUGCCAGCAU
This 561-nucleotide ribosomal RNA is filed under the name Bacillus subtilis. RNAcentral describes it as "bacterial SSU rRNA". It matches the Rfam family "Bacterial small subunit ribosomal RNA", at positions 565 to 1124 of the family's 1533-position model. The record is from RNAcentral. Lineage: Bacteria; Bacillati; Bacillota; Bacilli; Caryophanales; Bacillaceae.